Eucalyptus grandis is the source of this 1435-nucleotide long non-coding RNA. RefSeq lists it as uncharacterized. The transcript is spliced from 3 exons. The record is from RefSeq and is a predicted model, not a curated record. NCBI's taxonomy places the organism in Eukaryota, Viridiplantae, Streptophyta, Magnoliopsida, Myrtales, Myrtaceae.
UCUUCUCUCUCUUAUCCCUUCUUCUCUCUCCUCUCUCCUCUCCCUCGUAGCCGACUUCUUCUUCUUCCUUCUUCUUUGUGCGAACCAGAAGCUGAAGAAGACAGAAGCAGCGAGCAUCACCGCCAGAUGAAGACAGCAGCCGCUCGUCCCGCCGCCGCACCGCCGCCCGCGCCCGUGCUCGCGUCGCUCGCCGCCGUGUGCCGCCAACCCGUCCCUCGCACCCAGGCGUCUCCCCGUGCGUCUCCAGCCGCUGCCCAGCCUCCGCCCAGCCCCUGUUCCGCCGACCAGCUCCAUCUCCGGCCACCGUUCGGACCGCCGGAGCUCCCCUUGCCCUCCGCCGGCUUCCCCUCGCCGCCCUAGCCGCCGGACGAGCUUCGUCCAACCAAGAACAGUGACUGGAAAAAUGGGUUUCCAGCACUGUUCAAGGCCGUUUUGGGCCGUUUCCCGGCCCCGAACCCGAGCGGUGCUUUGGAGUUUGUCGUUCCUCGCGUCGCCCCGUCGGAUUGAUCCGACUUGCGUGCGAUUUGUUGUCUCCUUCCCAGGUGAACAAUACUGGUGUUGGUGGAUCCAUUAUCGACGCUGAUGCUUUGAGAACUUCGGUGGAUCCAUCCAAAGUUUCGCCCUGCCAUUGCCAAUCCACGAAGACAUAUUCUUUUUCCCUUGCUCUGUCCGGAAUUUGCCAGUCCUUGCCACAUAAAUCGCAAUUUGCUGACUUUGGAAACAAUCAUCCGCACGCUAAGGAUGUGCUAAAGAUGUGAACGUGUCGGAUGAUGAUGACAAUAGUAAUGACAAUGUAGGUGGUGACAACAGUGGUCGCGAUGCAGAUGAUGUCAAUGCAGGUGGUGACUAUGAUGGUAGCAAUGCAAAUGAUUUUAUUGGACACCACAGUGAUGACAGACUUUUUACAACAGACGAUACUGGAACUUCAGCUCGUGAAAAUCACAAAUUGGAUAGAACUCCAAAUAGUAAGCGGAGAAGAAAGAGUAACCAAUCAAGUAUUAUUGAAACUUGCAGAGCCAUACAAGAUUUUUUGAAAGUUAGGUCAUCAAGUCAAUCUGGUGGUGGCUCUGCGAGCUCAUGGACUACACAACCACCUGUAGACUCUUUCUCCAUAUCUACUGUGGUCCAGAUUCUACUGAGUAUGCCCGAGAUAGAGCAAGAUGUUUACAAUAAAGCAGUGGAACAAACAUGCGUCGAUUGUGAAUGGAGGGAGGCUUUCAUUACAUCCACACCUGCAAGGAGGAUUGGCCUUCUUCAAUUCCUUUAGUAGAUGUUUGGAAAUAUAUUAUGAAUUACAUGGAGUUUCAUUAGACUGUAUAACUUAUAUUAUCUAUUAAUCUUUAGUUUAUUCAAAUAUAAUUAGUGUUGAGACUCUUGUACUUAUAUGUAAUGGCAUAUCUUAUUGAGAUUGUAUGACUUAUGUUAUUGAUUGUUA